Molecule: ribosomal RNA, 274 nt
Filed under: uncultured bacterium
Lineage: Bacteria
Description: partial 16S ribosomal RNA
Rfam family: Bacterial small subunit ribosomal RNA
Source: RNAcentral
CUACGGAGGGUGCAAGCGUUAAUCGGAAUCACUGGGCGUAAAGCGCGCGCAGGCGGCUAUUUAAGUUGGAUGUGAAAGCCUACGGCUCAACCGUAGAACUGCAUCCAAAACUAUUUAGCUAGAGUGUGGGAGAGGAAGAUGGAAUUAGUUGUGUAGGGGUAAAAUCCGUAGAGAUAACUAGGAAUACCAAAAGCGAAGGCAAUCUUCUGGAACACUACUGACGCUGAGGCGCGAAAGCGUGGGGAGCAAACAGAAUUAGAAACCCUUGUAGUCC